CAAUGCCUUGAGUUCGGUCGAGGUCAGCUGCCCUUUUCUGUUCCCUAAACUUUGGAACAUUGGGGCAUUGAAACAGGCUAGGGAGGUGAUUACAUAGAGAAUAUUAUUCUAUUCAUUUCCCUCCUAGCCAAAACAA
Molecule: small nucleolar RNA, 136 nt
Organism: Callithrix jacchus (white-tufted-ear marmoset)
Lineage: Eukaryota; Metazoa; Chordata; Mammalia; Primates; Cebidae
Source: Ensembl